Zingiber officinale is the source of this 1891-nucleotide long non-coding RNA. RefSeq lists it as uncharacterized. NCBI's taxonomy places the organism in Eukaryota, Viridiplantae, Streptophyta, Magnoliopsida, Zingiberales, Zingiberaceae. The record is from RefSeq and is a predicted model, not a curated record. The transcript is spliced from 2 exons.
UCCUGAGACUGACUGAACGAACCAUCGUCCUGCCGCGGUCCGCUUUCCUUUUCCUAAACCCUAGCCGGAGCUGCCCUGACACCCUGGAAGCGAGAGGGAAUGCGAUCUCCAGCCAUGGCUAUCUUCAAGGGCUCGUGCUGCAUCACAUCAACUACCGCUUUCGCGUCAUUCGUAGUCGUCCAGAAGGACCAGAACGAUCUCCAGUUCCCGGGCAAAUUAUGGUCUUCGACCGAGAUGAAGUGACGAACCUUGUUAUCGGCUAUCGCAUGAAGUUCUCGAAUAUGCUUCCUACAUUGGUAGGCUCUACAAAGCCUAGCGAACAGAAUGAGGACCGCAACACCUUCGUCCUUGCACGACCGCUCUGGGGAUACAACGGCAUAUCACGCUCCAGUUAGUGCCUAGUUGUCAGCGCCGCUUGCAGCUUGCCCUCUGGUUGUUCGCAUACCCGUGCCAGGGCAGAUGCCUGUAUUUCCUAGCCUGCUCAUAUGCGCAAGUUCAGUGUGCUGCCAUUCCUGGCACUCUACCACUGCCUUUCUUGACCCCAACACCAUAGUUUGGCGGAUGCACGUUGGGGGCCGCUUCAGACGACGAGACAUGUUGAUUUUUGAAGAAGAUUUCAACUAGAUGUUUUGUUCUGUCAUGUUGGUGUUGUUAGGAGUCCUACAUCCAAAGGUAGGGAGGCCAUAAAGGGAUUUAUAACCAAGUCACGCCAUAUACAUCUUGCACAUGGUGCAUGGAUGUGAGUGUGCAUGAGUUUGUGUUAGCCAACACACACUUGGGCGGCCGGGGUGUGCACAUUACCGGCUUGGACAUAAGUAGCAUAACCAAUUCUUCACGUAUAUGAUAAGUUUAGUUCUAUCAUGCUUUAUGAAUUGAUCAAAUCUGUUGUUUAUAAAUACAAAAGCUUCCAGUUCUGAAAGUAUUCUUCUUCUAUAUGUUCAGACAGUGUUAUUCUUCUUUAUGUCCCAAUUAGAAACUCUUCAUAUUCAUUUACUAGAGGCCUUUUGGAAAUUCAUAAUUCGUUAUGUUUUACAUUGUUGAAUGUAUCUAUUUUAAACAGGUUGGUUGUCGGAUAUUGGGCGGGUUGGCACAUUUUGUUCACUGUUGGUGACAAUAUUAUUUCAAAGAGGCUUGCUGUUGCUUCAAUCAGUCCAUGGCUGUGGGGUUCUUUGGAAUUGGAAAUUUUUACCUGCAUUCCAUUUUUGGUAAAUAAAGUUUCCCACUUAUCAUUUGCAUACUGGGUGCAUUAUGCACAUCAGACGAGGUAUGAACUAGGUCUAGAUAUCUGGCCACCUCAACCACGAUGAUGGGGGUACGUUGGCUACAAAAUCUAAUGUAUCAACUGGAUUAGGGAACUAGCGGUGCUAGAUGGUUGCAGUUUCCAAACUGUACUAGAGAAUUGUACAGUUUCCAGCAAGCAACCAAAAGCGAAUUGCAAUGCAUUUUAAUUUUGAAUUUGUUAAUGUUAUAUCAGUGGACAUUAACAAGUUCUAUGACAUUGCAACAUCUUUAUAGUUUUUUUUUUAGUUUCCUUCUUUUCAUGCUCCUUAUUUAUAUUUUCACUGCAGCAUAUUGAGAUGCUUCUUUACAAUUUCUUCACACUGGCUUUGGUUUUGAAUAUAAUAAAAUAUAUUCUCUAUCUUUUACUAAUUAAAAAUUAAUUUGGUUUAUCCAAUGAAUUGAGAAUAUUGAAAUUCUUCUUUCUUGCUCUCUAAUCCUUUUUCCUGUUCCAAUUAUUUUUUUCCCAAUAUGUCCGAGAUAUUUCUUAUAGGAAAAGCUUUGAAUUACAUCAAAGUAUUGUACGUGUAUCUGAACUUCCAUGCGUACUCUUAUCCAUGAAUCUUAAGCCAUAUCAUUGUAAUUUGGUUUAUACACCUCUUGAUCUACAAAA